GACGAACGCUGGCGGCGUGCUUAACACAUGCAAGUCGAGCGGAAAGGCUCCUUCGGGGGUACUCGAGCGGCGAACGGGUGAGUAACACGUGAGUAAUCUGCCCUUGGCUUUGGGAUAAGCCCCGGAAACGGGUCUAAUACCGGAUACGACGCACUCUCGCAUGGGAUGUGUGUGGAAAGUUUUUUCGGCCAGGGAUGUGCUCGCGGCCUAUCAGCUUGUUGGUGGGGUAAUGGCCUACCAAGGCUUCGACGGGUAGCCGGCCUGAGAGGGUGACCGGCCACACUGGGACUGAGACACGGCCCAGACUCCUACGGGAGGCAGCAGUGGGGAAUAUUGGACAAUGGGCGGAAGCCUGAUCCAGCAACGCCGCGUGAGGGAUGACGGCCUUC
Molecule: ribosomal RNA, 389 nt
Filed under: uncultured bacterium
Lineage: Bacteria
Description: bacterial SSU rRNA
Rfam family: Bacterial small subunit ribosomal RNA
Source: RNAcentral